CCUACGGGAGGCUGCAGUGGGGAAUAUUGCACAAUGGGGGAAACCCUGAUGCAGCAACGCCGCGUGAAGGAAGACGGUUUUCGGAUUGUAAACUUCUGUUCUUAGUGAAGAAUAAUGACGGUAGCUAAGGAGCAAGCCACGGCUAACUACGUGCCAGCAGCCGCGGUAAUACGUAGGUGGCAAGCGUUGUCCGGAAUUACUGGGUGUAAAGGGAGCGCAGGCGGGAAGCCAAGUCAGCUGUGAAAACUACGGGCUUAACUUGUAGACUGCAGUUGAAACUGGUUUUCUUGAGUGAAGUAGAGGUUGGCGGAAUUCCGAGUGUAGCGGUGAAAUGCGUAGAUAUUCGGAGGAACACCGGUGGCGAAGGCGGCUAACUGGGCUUUAACUGACGCUGAGGCUCGAAAGUGUGGGUAGCAAACAGGAUUAGAUACCCUUGUAGUC
This 441-nucleotide ribosomal RNA is filed under the name uncultured bacterium. RNAcentral describes it as "partial 16S ribosomal RNA". It matches the Rfam family "Bacterial small subunit ribosomal RNA", at positions 338 to 795 of the family's 1533-position model. The record is from RNAcentral.